This 468-nucleotide ribosomal RNA is filed under the name uncultured bacterium. RNAcentral describes it as "partial 16S ribosomal RNA". It matches the Rfam family "Bacterial small subunit ribosomal RNA", at positions 28 to 507 of the family's 1533-position model. The record is from RNAcentral.
GACGAACGCUGGCGGCGUGCUUAACACAUGCAAGUCGAACGGAAAGGCCCUGCUUUUGUGGGGUGCUCGAGUGGCGAACGGGUGGGUAACACGUGAGUAACCUGCCCUUGACUUUGGGAUAACUUCAGGAAACUGGGGCUAAUACCGGAUAGGAGCUCCUGCUGCAUGGUGGGGGUUGGAAAGUUUCGGCGGUUGGGGAUGGACUCGCGGCUUAUCAGCUUGUUGGUGGGGUAGUGGCUUACCAAGGCUUUGACGGGUAGCCGGCCUGAGAGGGUGACCGGCCACAUUGGGACUGAGAUACGGCCCAGACUCCUAAGGGAGGCAGCAGUGGGGAAUAUUGCACAAUGGGCGGAAGCCUGAUGCAGCAACGCCGCGUGCGGGAUGACGGCCUUCGGGUUUUAAACCGCUUUCGCCUGUGACGAAGCGUGAGUGACGGUAAUGGGUAAAGAAGCACCGGCUAACUACGUG